Parus major (Great Tit) is the source of this 4324-nucleotide long non-coding RNA. RefSeq lists it as uncharacterized. The record is from RefSeq and is a predicted model, not a curated record. NCBI's taxonomy places the organism in Eukaryota, Metazoa, Chordata, Aves, Passeriformes, Paridae. The transcript is spliced from 3 exons.
UCUACUUAUUAUCUGAAGAUUUUAUUUGCUUUCUCAGUGAGAAAAUUGUUGCAUGGAGGAUUAUAGUUACUUCAAAGGAGUAUGAAAUUUGGUAAUACUUCAGGAAUUUAAGCAGCAAAAGCCGGAACAAGACAGGCUUACAUAGUAAAAUGCCAUCCUUUUACCUUGGGGUGUUUGCAGAAACCUCCUUAGCACAAACUCAUUACAGAUUUGAAAGACUGUGAGAGGCUGUUUCAUGCAGAGAGACCGCAGACACUCUAUCCUGUCCCCCAGGCAGCAAGAAGCUGAAAGGAGCAAAUCUGCAGUGCUACAACAAUGUGUGUUUCAGUUUCACAGGCUGCUUCUGUGAGCACAGAUCUGACACCACAGACCAGUUUGGCAGUGGUUCUUUUUUUUUGGCUUCACGUCCUGACUGACCCACUUGACACAUUUUUAGUAACAGGGUUUGGAGUUCAGCUGGCAUCCUGGUUCUCUACUACAUAAAGCGAGAACAGCCUAAUAGAAGGCCAAGUCAUAUGCUGUAAUAGAGUACUAUGUAGAACUGUACCUAAACUACAGCUACCUAAAUUAGCUUUUGAAUACAUGAGUGCAGCUAUGAUAUGUGAUUGUUUGUGAAGCAAAUAGUCUUAUAAUUAUGUGAUAAAUACCAAGUAUAAUAUGAUGCACCAGGAAACUGAAGCACAGUGAAAUUACAAAACCAGGUUAGUCUGUGCUUUUGAGCUGAAUUUCCUGUUUCACUACCGAAAAUUCACCAGACAAGAAGGCAGAUAGAACUUGUAGAACCAGUGGAAAAUAAUGGGAUGAUGAAUUGAGAUCACUAUUUCAAAUUCAACCUCUCCUACCUUAAAAUUAGGUGUGCAAAGUUUAAUACUAUGCAGUUUACAGUUUUUGAUGUUUUAGCAUAACAAUGUAUGAAAAAAAUCAUAGCAGAACUUAAUUGAGGUCCUGAAAAACCUCCUGGUUUGUGCUUAUCAGAUCCAACUGGGAAAACAUCUUAUAUAGAGCUGGAGAGGUUUCCUUUUAACUGCAGCUUUCAUUUGAGAAAAGGUAAUGGGUAAUGAAUACAGGAAUAUUACCAAUAGAAUGAAUAAUUUAGGCCAUUCAGCACAAGAAGAGAACGGUUGCUGAAAUGUGGUUUGUUAAGAUUUUUCACAACAGCCCAACUGCUAAUAGGUAUUCAGUUCCGAGGUUAAGUUUUUAAAAAUGUCCUAUUGUUUACUGUAUGUCUUUUUUAGAUAUUAAAAUGAUAGCUAAGUUGAGGUUAUGGCUAAUGAACUUGCAGUGAAAAAAACCUCACUUCUUCUUUCACUUAAUAGCACAAAUUUAGAUUAUCCCAGAAACAUGAUUAAAGAGGGAUUACGUUAGAGAAACCAUUUGAACCACUUUAUUUGGGACACUAAAAAUCACCCAGAAGUUUUGGUUAUUAAUUCUAAUACACAGCCUCCAAACAUGUGACUGAAAUGGACAUUGUUCUCUUUGCUGUCAGGAGGCAUGAAAUUCAAGGAGCUGGUUCUAUUUUGCAAGCAGACUUUACUUUUUUGCAAUGUACCUUUGCAAUGGACUUUAAAUGGUCCCAUGUGUCACAUAUUUAAAUUUAUCUGUCUCUUCCAUACAACUUUUUGAUUUGCACUAAUCUGAAAUUUUCAGAUGCGUUUCUUGGAGGAUGAAGCUCAUUGGUUCUCUUCCAGGACUGCCUUUCUGCAAUGCACUACUUCUAGAUUAUUUUUUAGCAUGACCUUGAUCUACUUACAAAAAGAUAGAAUUUCAAUCUUAUUGUUCCAAGCUGUUAUAAUUAACUAUGCACAAUUCAAUAAGUGGCAGGAUCCCAUUUAGGCUGUUGCCUAAAAGAAGAAAUGGAAGAUAUUUUUCUCUAUUUACUUAAUUGUUAAUUUUUUUAUUGCAAGUAAAUUGUUUCAUUUCUUGUUUUUGUUUAUUUUAAAAUUACCAGAGAUACUGUAGUAAUUUGUUUCAUAUAAAUGCAUAUAGCUAAUCUCCUUAUGAACAAAAGCUAGCUUUGGGAAAAUAUAUCUCCAAUGAGGACAAUAUCACUACUUCUACCAACUUAGCUUAGUAUCUCCCUAUUGCAGAUCUUGAAAAAGUGUAGCCGCUAUAUGUUUCAGAAAAAAAAAAUUAAAAAUUAUUUAUUAGACAAUAUGAAUGUAUUUUCAUACUUGUAUUUGAAUCGCAAGGAACUAACAAGCAUAUAUUCUUUGCUCAGCCUGGCUAAACUUUUAGAAAUGUACUACCUAAUUUGAAAUCCAGAAAUUGCUCAGUGUACACAGAAGUGUAUGUCAAAUGAUGAUGCUUUUGGAAACAAUUUUGGAGCAAAACAGCUAUAAAAAAGCCAGAACAUUAAAAAGAAAAAAGAAUUAAUAAUAAGGCUGUUCCUGAGAGAACUGUAAUUUUGGUUUCAUUGAUUACGGAACAGACUUUGGCACUAGCAAAAGGACAUGAAAACUGAAGAGAGAUACUAUUUUUAAAAUUAAGGCAUAUUUGCAGAUUCCCUUUGCUGUAACUGACCAUCUGUCUGAGGACUUGUUGGAAUAUGCUGUCAUGGUACACUUCAGAACCCUUGGAAACAAGAGGAGGAAAGGCAAGCCAAUGUUGUGAGGUGCCUGGGGAGGCAAAGAUUUAGUUUUAGAUAAGCAUUGUUAAAGUGAGAGGCAUGGCUGUAAGCCUGGCUAGUGUGAAUUUUGAUGACCUGCUUUGGGGGAUGGGCCACGUGAAUCCUGGAUGAAGUUGCCCCACCCCAGACCCCUUGUGAGGGGCAGCCCAGGAGUUCUGAUUGUGUUUGAGACUCUGGGGUUUCUUCCUUGUUGUGUUCCUACUGGCCCCUGACCCUGAACUCUACCCUAGUUCUGUCCAUCAAAACCCAUCUCCCUGCCUUUGUUCGGAGCUCUCUGUCUCUGAAUCUGAGUUUGUUCCCAUGCUGAAUAAAUGAUUUCAUGAACAGAAGCCCAUCUCGUUAAUAUCCCAUGCUGGUUCCUAGUAACUGUAGUUUCUCUGGACAUGAUCCUAUAGUUGCGGACUGCAGCAGCCAAUACACUGGAAAGCAUUCUAGUCCCAAGAUAAAGGGAAAACAGAAAAUAGAGGAGUCAAUUUGUUACACAACUAGUGUGAAAUUUGUCAUUUCUGUGGAGUUCUAGGCUGCAUUUCACGAAAGUAGUUAAGGGAAGUAGUAGUAACUACAGGACUAAAAUGUUCAGUUCUGCUAUCAAUAGCAAAAAUGUGAUUUUUUAAAAAAAAAUUAAUUAAAUUGAGCAUUAGCAAUAGCCUAGCACUGCCAGCAGGUUGAGGUAGCAUCUCUCUUAUUAGGAAAGGCAGAAGGAGCUCAGCUUGUUCAGCCUUGAGGAGAUAGAAUUGAGAUGGGAUCUCAUCAACAUCUAUGAGUACCUGAAGGAAAAGAAGAUGGACCAGGCUCUUCUCAGUUGUGCUGAGCAAUAGGACUAGAGGCAAUAGGAAAGAAACUGACACACAGGAAGUUCCAACUAAACAUGACGAAGAACUUAUUUACUGUGCAGGUGACCAUGCACUGGAACAGGUUGACCAGAGAGGUUGUGGAGUCUCCUUCUCCAGAGAUAUUCAAAAGCUGUCAGCACACUGAAUACCAUAGGUCUAGGAGACCGUGCUUGAGCAGAGAGGUUGAGCUAGAUGACCACCAGUGGCCCCUUCCACUUAGCUAAUCUGUGUAUUUCAGUCAACAAGGGUAUGAGACUAAACCAAACUUCUCAACAACCCUAAAGAAAUUAUAAAGCCUUAGCGAAACUUAGACUUUUAUCAGUUCAGUUUGACUGGGCAACCAAAAGAAAGAUGAAAGAUGACUUUUAGAAUUUACUUGUAUCUCAUCAGGGCAAAAUAAAAGGUAACAAAGAACAAAGUUACCCAAGGUAAGCACAAUAUUAAUUUAAAUUAAAGUCAUAAAAAAAUAGAAAAAUAUGCCCUUUCCCCAUAAAAAUUGAAGUGGUUAAUCACUGGAACAGAAAAAAAUUAAAAAGUGUAUUCAGAUGAAAACUAAAUGGUUAUUUUCUUCUCCAUAUGUUUGAUUUAAACUCCGUGUGUUUGUCUUAGAACUGGAUUAACCAUGUAAAGCUUUCUGGUCCAUGGUACAUGAAAAAUCUGAAUCACCGAGCCCAUGAUUUUACCUGACUCUUUACAACUGUGAUUCUGUAAAUCUCAGGUUUUAGAAAACAUUUACUGUAAGUAACAUGAGAGAAUUCAAAGAAAGCAUCAUACACUUUUUGUCCUAUUCUUCCUGUUCUCCAUAGCAAAAUGAGCACUGCAAAAUAAAAUUAACCUGAAUCUGAUGAAUCUGGAGCAGAAUAUG